CAACCUACCGCUUACUCGGGGAUAGCCUUUCGAAAGAAAGAUUAAUACCCGAUGGUAUAAAGAGUUCGCAUGUUCUCUUUAUUAAAGAAUUUCGGUAAGCGAUGGGGAUGCGUUCCAUUAGAUAGUUGGCGGGGUAACGGCCCACCAAGUCUACGAUGGAUAGGGGUUCUGAGAGGAAGGUCCCCCACAUUGGAACUGAGACACGGUCCAAACUCCUACGGGAGGCAGCAGUGAGGAAUAUUGGUCAAUGGACGAGAGUCUGAACCAGCCAAGUAGCGUGAAGGAUGACUGCCCUAUGGGUUGUAAACUUCUUUUAUAAGGGAAUAAAGUGAGGGACGUGUCCCUUUUUGUAUGUACCUUAUGAAUAAGGAUCGGCUAACUCCGUGCCAGCAGCCGCGGUAAUACGGAGGAUCCAAGCGUUAUCCGGAUUUAUUGGGUUUAAAGGGAGCGUAGGUUGACACAUAAGUCAGCUGUGAAAGUUUACGGCUCAACCGUGAAAUUGCAGUUGAUACUGUAUGUCUUGAGUGUACAAGAGGUGGGCGGAAUUCGUGGUGUAGCGGUGAAAUGCUUAGAUAUCACGAAGAACUCCGAUUG
This 594-nucleotide ribosomal RNA is filed under the name uncultured Bacteroidota bacterium. RNAcentral's name for it is "bacterial SSU rRNA". It matches the Rfam family "Bacterial small subunit ribosomal RNA", at positions 122 to 715 of the family's 1533-position model. The record is from RNAcentral. Lineage: Bacteria; Pseudomonadati; Bacteroidota.